This 259-nucleotide long non-coding RNA is filed under the name Trifolium pratense (red clover). Its description in RNAcentral is "long non-coding RNA (TPRA_LNC010085)". The record is from RNAcentral. Lineage: Eukaryota; Viridiplantae; Streptophyta; Magnoliopsida; Fabales; Fabaceae.
GGGAACAUUAACCUGUAACUUUGUAAACAUCUCCAUGAAUUUUUUAAAUUGACCCUCUUCCUUGUCUUUCUUUUUCUUCAAAUGGGGGUAUGGCAAUUUGACAUAAGGGGGAAUGACUUGCUCCUUACCGCAGUCUUCAAGAAUUUGUUUCUUGGUUUUUCUAGGAAUAGAACCUUCAUCAAUCAAUUUUUCUUUCUUUUCAACUUCUCGCUCACUAGUUCCCUUAACCCCAUUCUCACUUUUUUCUUCCUCAACUCUC